UACGGAGGAGGCAAGCGUUAUCCGGAAUUAUUGGGCGUAAAGCGUCCGUAGGUGGUUUAGUAAGUCUGCUGUUAAAGCGCGGGGCUUAACUCCGUAUCGGCAGUGGAAACUACUAGACUAGAGUGUGGUAGGGGUAGAGGGAAUUCCCAGUGUAGCGGUGAAAUGCGCAGAUAUCGAGAGGAACACCUGCGGCGAAGGCGGGUUGCUGGGCUGACACUGACGCUGAGGCGCGAAAGCCAGGGGAGCGAACGGG
RNAcentral lists this ribosomal RNA (253 nucleotides) under uncultured bacterium. Its description in RNAcentral is "partial 16S ribosomal RNA". It matches the Rfam family "Bacterial small subunit ribosomal RNA", at positions 524 to 776 of the family's 1533-position model. The record is from RNAcentral.